Molecule: ribosomal RNA, 407 nt
Filed under: Verrucomicrobiota bacterium
Lineage: Bacteria; Pseudomonadati; Verrucomicrobiota
Description: Verrucomicrobia bacterium partial 16S ribosomal RNA
Rfam family: Bacterial small subunit ribosomal RNA
Source: RNAcentral
UGGGGAAUAUUGGACAAUGGAGGAAACUCUGAUCCAGCAAUUCUGUGUGUGUGAAGAAGGUUUUAGGACUGUAAAACACUUUUAGUAGGGAAGAAAAAAAUGACGGUACCUACAGAAGAAGCAACGGCUAAAUACGUGCCAGCAGCCGCGGUAAUACGUAUGUUGCGAGCGUGAUCCGGAAUUAUUGGGCUUAAAGGGCAUCUAGGCGGUAAGACAAGUUGAAGGUGAAAACCUGUGGCUCAACCAUAGGCUUGCCUACAAAACUGUUGAACUAGAGUACUGGAAAGGUGGGUGGAACUACACGAGUAGAGGUGAAAUUCGUAGAUAUGUGUAGGAAUGCCGAUGAUGAAGAUAACUCACUGGACAGAAACUGACGCUGAAGUGCGAAAGCUAGGGGAGCAAACAGG